GACGAACGCUGGCGGCGUGCUUAACACAUGCAAGUCGAACGGAAAGGCCCUGCUUUUGUGGUGUGCUCGAGUGGCGAACGGGUGAGUAACACGUGAGUAACCUGCCCUUGACUUUGGGAUAACUUCAGGAAACUUGGGCUAAUACCGGAUAGGAGCUCCUGCUGCAUGGUGUGGGUUGGAUAGUUUCGGCGGUUGGGGAUGGACUCGCGGCUUAUCAGCUUGUUGGUGGGGUAGUGGCUUACCAAGGCUUUGACGGGUAGCCGGCCUGAGAGGGUGACCGGCGACAUUGGGACUGAGAUACGGCCCAGACUCCUACGGGAGGCAGCAGGGGGGAAUAUUGCACAAUGGGCGGAAGCCUGAGGCAGCAACGCCGCGUGCGGGAUGACGGCCUUCGGGUUGUAAACCGCUUUCGCAUGUGGCGAAGCGUGAGUGACGGUAAUGGGUAAAGAAGCACCGGCUAACUACGUG
This 468-nucleotide ribosomal RNA is filed under the name uncultured bacterium. RNAcentral's name for it is "partial 16S ribosomal RNA". It matches the Rfam family "Bacterial small subunit ribosomal RNA", at positions 28 to 507 of the family's 1533-position model. The record is from RNAcentral.